This 699-nucleotide ribosomal RNA is filed under the name uncultured bacterium. RNAcentral describes it as "bacterial SSU rRNA". It matches the Rfam family "Bacterial small subunit ribosomal RNA", at positions 62 to 789 of the family's 1533-position model. The record is from RNAcentral.
UCGAGCGAUUUACUUCGGUAAAGAGCGGCGGACGGGUGAGUAACGCGUGGGUAACCUGCCCUGUACACACGGAUAACAUACCGAAAGGUAUGCUAAUACGAGAUAAAAUACUUUUAUCGCAUGGUAGAAGUAUCAAAGCUUUUGCGGUACAGGAUGGACCCGCGUCUGAUUAGCUAGUUGGUAAGGUAACGGCUUACCAAGGCGACGAUCAGUAGCCGACCUGAGAGGGUGAUCGGCCACAUUGGAACUGAGACACGGUCCAAACUCCUACGGGAGGCAGCAGUGGGGAAUAUUGCACAAUGGGCGAAAGCCUGAUGCAGCAACGCCGCGUGAGCGAUGAAGGCCUUCGGGUCGUAAAGCUCUGUCCUCAAGGAAGAUAAUGACGGUACUUGAGGAGGAAGCCCCGGCUAACUACGUGCCAGCAGCCGCGGUAAUACGUAGGGGGCUAGCGUUAUCCGGAAUUACUGGGCGUAAAGGGUGCGUAGGUGGUUCCUUAAGUCAGAGGUGAAAGGCUACGGCUCAACCGUAGUAAGCCUUUGAAACUGGGGAACUUGAGUGCAGGAGAGGUAAGUGGAAUUCCUAGUGUAGCGGUGAAAUGCGUAGAUAUUAGGAGGAACACCAGUGGCGAAGGCGGCUUACUGGACUGUAACUGACGUUGAGGCUCGAAAGCGUGGGGAGCAAACAGGAUUAGAUACCCUG